RNAcentral lists this ribosomal RNA (460 nucleotides) under uncultured bacterium. RNAcentral describes it as "bacterial SSU rRNA". It matches the Rfam family "Bacterial small subunit ribosomal RNA", at positions 338 to 795 of the family's 1533-position model. The record is from RNAcentral.
CCUACGGGUGGCUGCAGUGAGGAAUAUUGGACAAUGGGCGAGAGCCUGAUCCAGCCAUGCCGCGUGCAGGAAGACUGCCCUAUGGGUUGUAAACUGCUUUUACAGAGGAAGAACCACUCCCACGUGUGGGAGUUUGACGGUACUCUGCGAAUAAGGAUCGGCUAACUCCGUGCCAGCGGCCGCGGUAAUACGGAGGAUCCAAGCGUUAUCCGGAAUCAUUGGGUUUAAAGGGUCCGUAGGCGGACAGUUAAGUCAGUGGUGAAAGUCUUCCGCUCAACGGGAGAACUGCCAUUGAUAAUGAUUGUCUUGAGUUAUUAUGAAGUGGCUAGAAUGAGUAGUGUAGCGGUGAAAUGCAUAGAUAUUACUCAGAACACCGAUUGCGAAGGCAGAUCACUAAUAAUAUACUGACGCUGAUGGACGAAAGCGUAGGGAGCGAACAGGAUUAGAUACCCCAGUAGUC